Molecule: long non-coding RNA, 683 nt
Filed under: Oryza sativa Indica Group (long-grained rice)
Lineage: Eukaryota; Viridiplantae; Streptophyta; Magnoliopsida; Poales; Poaceae
Description: lncRNA OsMH63_04G019610
Source: RNAcentral
AUGUUCCCGGACUCCUCCGCCUUCGACUUCGACUACUCCCAGAGCGGCAUCUGGUCCCCGCUGAACAAGGUGCCCCGCGCGUCGUCGCCGCCGCCGCCGCCGCCGCGCUCCGGCGGAGGCGGGGCCGAGGGCUCGAGGGACUUCCUCAUCGCCAACCCGAAGCGCAGGGCGAGGGCCGCCAUCGGGGGCAGGUCGUCGAGGUCGCGGCGGCGGCGGCUGAGGCUGCGGCGGGAGGACGGCUCAUUCCUGAACCUCCACGAGACGGGCUGCGCGAGGCUGGACUUCUCGCCGCCGCCACCAUCGUCGCCUCUCCCGGCCAAGGAGGAAGGGUGGAGGCGGGUGCUCAAGGCGGCGAUCAGGAAGUUCAAAUCGCGGCAGCGCCGAUCCCGGCCGGCUCCCCUGCUCCAGAUGAUGCUGCCAACGCUAUGAUCGAUCGAUCGACCGAGCAAUCGAUCUCGUGGUUCGCUCGUUCAGUUCGAUGUUGCAUGAAUCAAUCACCACGCGUUCUUUCAGUCGGAUUUGAAUCGCUGGCCGCCCGCGACACGCCCCUUCUUCGUGUAGUAUAAUUUAGAAGUUACUGAAUUUAUCCGUAUACCACAUGUAAUUUGUAAGUUGUGCUUUGUAACGACGCUCUCGCUACAGAUUCAAAUUUGAAUAUAUAAAUUCAAUCGACUUUUUAGGCG